This 509-nucleotide ribosomal RNA is filed under the name uncultured euryarchaeote. Its description in RNAcentral is "bacterial SSU rRNA". It matches the Rfam family "Archaeal small subunit ribosomal RNA", at positions 83 to 597 of the family's 1478-position model. The record is from RNAcentral. Lineage: Archaea; Methanobacteriati; Methanobacteriota.
UUACGGUUCAGUAACACGUGGCCCAGCUACCCCGGGACGGGAAUACUCUCGGGAACUGAGGCUAAUCCCCGAUAGCUUUUCUCCUGAAGGGGCAAAGCCGGAAACGCUCCGGCGCCACAGGAUGCGGCUGCGGUCGAUUAGGUAGACGGUGGGGUAACGGCCCACCGUGCCCAUAAUCGGUACGGGUUGUAAGAGCAAGAGCCCGGAGACGGAAUCUGAGACAAGAUUCCGGGCCCUACGGGGCGCAGCAGGCGCGAAACCUUACACUGUACGAAAGUGCGAUAAGGGGACUCCGAGUGUGAAGGCAUAGAGCCUUCACUUUUGUACACCGUAAGGUGGUGCACGAAUAAGGACUGGGCAAGACCGGUGCCAGCCGCCGCGGUAAUACCGGCAGUCCGAGUGAUGGCCGAUCUUAUUGGGCCUAAAGCGUCCGUAGCUGGCUGAACAAGUCCGUUGGGAAAUCUGUCCGCUUAACGGGCAGGCGUCCAGCGGAAACUGUUCAGCUUGGG